Molecule: ribosomal RNA, 709 nt
Filed under: uncultured Laccaria
Lineage: Eukaryota; Fungi; Basidiomycota; Agaricomycetes; Agaricales; Tricholomataceae
Description: eukaryotic LSU rRNA
Rfam family: 5.8S ribosomal RNA (bases 287-440)
Source: RNAcentral
AAGUCGUAACAAGGUUUCCGUAGGUGAACCUGCGGAAGGAUCAUUAUUGAAUAAACCUGAUGUGACUGUUAGCUGGCUUUUCGAAGCAUGUGCUCGUCCGUCAUCUUUAAUCUCUCCACCUGUGCACAUUUUGUAGUCUUGGAUACCUCUCGAGGCAACUCGGAUUUUAGGAUCGCCGUGCUGUAAAAGUCAGCUUUCCUCUCAUUUCCAAGACUAUGUUUUUAUAUACACCAAAGUAUGUUUAAAGAAUGUCAUCAAUAGGAACUUGUUUCCUAUAAAAUUAUACAACUUUCAGCAACGGAUCUCUUGGCUCUCGCAUCGAUGAAGAACGCAGCGAAAUGCGAUAAGUAAUGUGAAUUGCAGAAUUCAGUGAAUCAUCGAAUCUUUGAACGCACCUUGCGCUCCUUGGUAUUCCGAGGAGCAUGCCUGUUUGAGUGUCAUUAAAUUCUCAACCUUCCAGCUUUUAUUAGCUUGGUUAGGCUUGGAUGUGGGGGUUGUGGGCUUCAUUAAUGAGGUCAGCUCUCCUUAAAUGCAUUAGCGGAACUUUUGUGGACCGUCUAUUGGUGUGAUAAUUAUCUACGCCGUGGAUGUGAAGCAGCUUUAUGAAGUUCAGCUUCUAAUCGUCCAUUGACUUGGACAACUUUUGACAAUUUGACCUCAAAUCAGGUAGGACUACCCGCUGAACUUAAGCAUAUCAAUAAGCGGAGGA